RNAcentral lists this ribosomal RNA (433 nucleotides) under uncultured bacterium. Its description in RNAcentral is "partial 16S ribosomal RNA". It matches the Rfam family "Bacterial small subunit ribosomal RNA", at positions 29 to 507 of the family's 1533-position model. The record is from RNAcentral.
AACGAACGCUGGCGGCAUGCCUAACACAUGCGAGUCGAACGAGACCUUCGAGUCUAGUGGCGCACGGGUGCGUAACGCGUGGGAACCUGCCCUUAGGUUCGGAAUAACUCCCCGAAAGGGGUGCUAAUACCGGAUAAUGUCUUCGGACCAAAGAUUUAUCGCCUUUGGAUGGGCCCGCGUUGGAUUAGCUAGUUGGUAGGGUAAAAGCCUACCAAGGCGACGAUCCAUAGCUGGUCUGAGAGGAUGAUCAGCCACACUGGGACUGAGACACGGCCCAGACUCCUACGGGAGGCAGCAGUGGGGAAUAUUGGACAAUGGGCGAAAGCCUGAUCCAGCAAUGCCGCGUGAGUGAUGAAGGCCUUAGGGUUGUAAAGCUCUUUUACCCGGGAUGAUAAUGACAGUACCGGGAGAAUAAGCUCCGGCUAACUCCGUG